CAGUAGCCGCGGUAAUACGAAGGUCCCGAGCGUUGUUCGGAAUCACUGGGCGUAAAGGGAGCGUAGGCGGCGUGGUAAGUCAGAUGUGAAAUCCCGGGGCUCAACCCCGGAACUGCAUCCGAUACUGCCAUGCUAGAGGAUUGGAGAGGUAGCUGGAAUUCUUGGUGUAGCAGUGAAAUGCGUGGAGAUCAAGAGGAACACUCGUGGCGAAAGCGAGCUACUGGACAAUAACUGACGCUGAGGCACGAAAGCGUGGGGAGCAAACAGGAUUAGAUACCCCUGUAGUCCCUGUCUCUUAUAA
RNAcentral lists this ribosomal RNA (301 nucleotides) under uncultured bacterium. RNAcentral's name for it is "partial 16S ribosomal RNA". It matches the Rfam family "Bacterial small subunit ribosomal RNA", at positions 509 to 809 of the family's 1533-position model. The record is from RNAcentral.